ACUAGCAUUGAUUCUUCUGGUAUCGGUCAGUUUUGAUUAGAGAAAAAAAAACUAUGUAUUUUGGUAUUGAGGUUUUAAAAAACCUUGAGAAAUGAUAUUUAGUAGAAGCGGUCCCUUCUUGUAGCAGGUAUGAUGUGAAUUUUUGUGGCAAGCAGGAAGCAUUCUGUGAUAUAUGGAAAUUCCACUCAUGUUAUAUAGGUUGGAUGUGGCUCAGUUUGUGGCUGAUGCUGGUUCUAAUACCAAGAAUCAUAGCAUCCCACAGGUUAUUUAAUGCUAAGACCUUGAUCGGUUUCUCAUGGAUAAAGAAAAUCAACAAUUAAUGGACCAAUUG
RNAcentral lists this long non-coding RNA (331 nucleotides) under Phoenix dactylifera (date palm). RNAcentral's name for it is "long non-coding RNA (PDAC_LNC018086)". Lineage: Eukaryota; Viridiplantae; Streptophyta; Magnoliopsida; Arecales; Arecaceae. The record is from RNAcentral.